AUACGUAGGUGGCAAGCGUUAUCCGGAUUUACUGGGUGUAAAGGGCGUGUAGGCGGGACUGCAAGUCAGGCGUGAAAACUGGGGGCUCAAACUCCAGCCUGCGUUUGAAACUGUAGUUCUUGAGUGAUGGAGAGGCAAGCGGAAUUCCGUGUGUAGCGGUGAAAUGCGUAGAUAUACGGAGGAACACCAGUGGCGAAGGCGGCUUGCUGGACGACAACUGACGCUGAGGCGCGAAAGCGUUGGGAGCAAACAGGAUUAGAUACCCUGGUAGUCCACGCUGUAAACGAUGAAUACUAGGUGUGGGGGGACUGACCCCCUCCGUGCCGCAGUUAACACAAUAAGUAUUCCACCUGGGGAGUACGAUCGCAAGAUUGAAACUCAAAUGAAUUGACGGGG
Molecule: ribosomal RNA, 396 nt
Filed under: uncultured bacterium
Lineage: Bacteria
Description: partial 16S ribosomal RNA
Rfam family: Bacterial small subunit ribosomal RNA
Source: RNAcentral